RNAcentral lists this ribosomal RNA (276 nucleotides) under uncultured bacterium. RNAcentral describes it as "partial 16S ribosomal RNA". It matches the Rfam family "Bacterial small subunit ribosomal RNA", at positions 28 to 309 of the family's 1533-position model. The record is from RNAcentral.
GACGAACGCUGGCGGCGUGCUUAACACAUGCAAGUCGAGCGGUAAGGCCCUUCGGGUACACGAGCGGCGAACGGGUGAGUAACACGUGGGUGACCUGCCUCUAGCUCUGGGAUAAGCCUGGGAAACUGGGUCUAAUACCGGAUAUGACUCCACGGCGCAUGUUGUGGGGUGGAAAGCCUUGUGUGGCUAGAGAUGGGCCCGCGGCCUAUCAGCUUGUUGGUGGGGGAUGGCCUACCAAGGCGACGACGGGUAGCCGGCCUGAGAGGGCGACCGGCC